GCGUGAAGUCGGAAUCGCUAGUAAUCGUGAAUCAGAAUGUCACGGUGAAUACGUUCCCGGGCCUUGUACACACCGCCCGUCACACCAUGGGAGUGGGUUGCUCCAGAAGUAGCUAGUCUAACCUUCGGGGGGACGGUUACCACGGAGUGAUUCAUGACUGGGGUGAAGUCGUAACAAGGUAGCCGUAGGGGAACCUGCGGCUGGAUCACCUCCUUAAUCGA
This 221-nucleotide ribosomal RNA is filed under the name Halioglobus sp. HI00S01. Its description in RNAcentral is "partial 16S ribosomal RNA". It matches the Rfam family "Bacterial small subunit ribosomal RNA", at positions 1318 to 1533 of the family's 1533-position model. The record is from RNAcentral. Lineage: Bacteria; Pseudomonadati; Pseudomonadota; Gammaproteobacteria; Cellvibrionales; Halieaceae.